This 23-nucleotide non-coding RNA is filed under the name Mus musculus (house mouse). Lineage: Eukaryota; Metazoa; Chordata; Mammalia; Rodentia; Muridae. The record is from RNAcentral.
UGGAGAGUGAAAACCCACUGUGC